UACGUAGGGUGCGAGCGUUAAUCGGAAUUACUGGGCGUAAAGCGUGCGCAGGCGGCGCGUUAAGACAGGUGUGAAAGCCCCGAGCUUAACUUGGGAAUUGCGCUUGUGACUGGCGAGCUGGAGUGUGGCAGAGGGAGGUGGAAUUCCACGUGUAGCAGUGAAAUGCGUAGAGAUGUGGAGGAACACCGGUGGCGAAGGCGGGUCUCUGGGCAAUUCCUGACGCUGAGGCGCGAAAGCGUGGGGAGCAAACAGG
This 253-nucleotide ribosomal RNA is filed under the name uncultured bacterium. Its description in RNAcentral is "partial 16S ribosomal RNA". It matches the Rfam family "Bacterial small subunit ribosomal RNA", at positions 524 to 776 of the family's 1533-position model. The record is from RNAcentral.